UCUGUAAAGUGAUUUGUAAAAAAUUUUUAAUUGUAAAAUUGCUACAUAAGAAGACAAGUUGUUAGAUGAAAUUCAAAUAUUUUCUAUGUUUGUGUUGUGUAGGUCAAAAAAUAAUAAACAAAGAUGACCAAGAGAUUCAUUUUAAGACAAAUCAAUCUUCAUCAUCUUUAAAUAAAAAGGAUAAACAUUAUGGAGUUCCAUUAUCUCAAGCGAACUUUCAAUAUUGUGCGUUGCUUCUCUUAAAUGAGAUAAAAACCCAAGGAUGCAAAAAACUUAAUAUAAAAUAGUGUGAAGAAGAAGUUGUAACUGAAAUGAGCAGCAUAAUAGAAUUUGAUAAGUUUGAUUCAGCACUUGACAAUGUUUUAUCUAGUAACUCUGUAGUAUCUCUGCAGUUGUAAAUUGCUAAAUACUGAUUUGACAGAUUUUUCUUUUUUUUUAAAUUUUCUUUACAAUAUAUAAUUUUUACUACUUAAUUAGGAAUUGUCAGAUUUCCAUUAUUUCAUUCUAUUAGAAACAAAGAGUUCGAAAUAUUGGUGGUAAGAACUGUCAAAAACAUGUGAUAGCUAUGAUGAAGAGUUGAAUCUAGAAGAUGAAGGAGUUAGUACCUAUAGAAGAUGAAAUAUCUCAACUAUUUAGCGAUAGUGGCAACAAUAACGAUGAAUGUAAUUUUGAAGGUUUCCUAAAUGAAGAAGAGCCAGACGACUACAAUAAUGAACUAAUAGUACAUGCCAAAAAUAUAGCGCCUCUAAUGGUAGGUUUAAUUACGGAUGGCGCUAAUGUUUUAACUGGACGGAGACAUAGUGUUCAACAACAGCUAGUAGGUGCAACAAUUUUCUCACUUACAUUGUUUGUUGCACCGAUUGCAGCUGGCACUAAAAGAUGCAGCCAGCACUUCAAAGGAACUCCAAAUUCUGCAGCUAUUUUUUGAGCAACUCUUCAUUUUUCAUCGAAAUUCUACUGUUAUAUCAGCAGUUUAUUGUAACGCAUGCAAAGUUUAUGGUGUAAAAGGCCAAAUGCAGAGUCAUACGAGUUUAUGUUAACAGAUGGGUUGCGCAUAUGGUAAAUGCGUUGGAAAAUCUUCUCAAUGGUCUAAAAGCGCAUAUCCAUAGUUAUACCACUAUCAGCUUGGUAAGCGACUACAGCGCAACACAGAAAUCAAAGGCUAAGUUCUUUGCAAAGAAAUUGGUUGAUCAGCACUUAAUGUCGACGGCGAUCUAUGUUCUUGAUGUUAGCACAAAAAAAAAUGUUUUACCGUAUGAAGUUAAGUCUUCGCUCGAGAAAUUUAGAAAGAUUCGACUCUGGUUUUUACUGGAACAAGCGCUCGAUAUAUAGGAUUGUAAAUUUGCAUGAAGUGAUAAAAUAUAAAGAUCGAGUUUUUAUUGCUACAUCCAUGCAAAAGUGCAUUUUGAAACGAUGUUCAAAUGUAUCAGAUGUCUUUGCGGAGGCGGACGAGUUGCUUAACACAGUUGAAUGGACGGAGAGCGACUUUUUCACGGCUGAAAACAACAAAAAGUUACAUAAAAACAUGCUAGACAAUAACAUAAAAGCCCUUAUUGACGACGAUAUGCUGCGUCAACAAUUCGAAUAUAAACGAGUAGAUGUUGGAAAAUUUUUUAUCAGAGUGGAUAAUAUUGAAGAAAAUAAUGGCAAUUUGGACAAGUGCAAGUUCAAAAUUAUUUCCACCGCUAUCUUGGUCACAAAUAGCGACUAAUAUCAAACCAGAUAGAUUCGCUAAUCUUUUUUCUCUGAUUGAUUUUUUAUUGUGCUAUAGCUUAAGUUUUGCAGACGCGGAAAAAGGCAGACGCGGAAAAACACAAGUCAAUAACAAGUUAUAAACAAUGCAAUUACGCAUCAAGAUUGAUGGUCCAGAAAUAGAAAUAUACAAUCCAACAAAAGCCAUCAAACACUGGCUUUUGUUGGAUCGUAUAAACCAUCAUGAAAAAAUAAAACUGGCAUCAAUCAAAAAAGAAGAGUUAGUUACAUGGACAACAAAACUCCAGUUGUGUCAGUUAAAAAGUCAAAGAAAAUAAAGAUUUUUUCAAGUAGCGAUGAUGACAGUGAUAGAGCUGUAACAAUUGAUGACGAUAUGUAAUAAUUUUGACUCUUGUUUAUAUUUUUAUUUUGUAAUGUUUUUUACCUUUCAAAAUAAAAAUAGUUUUUCUCGUAACAAAUAAGAUCGUAAUAAUUACAACACAUUAAAAGGGUUUUAAAGUAUUUGUAAAUUGUUUUUUUAUAUUUGUCAAGAGUUUUUUGUUGUAAACGAACGUCUAUUUUUUUAUAAAAUGAGCGCUCAAAUAAAGUUUAAAAA
Hydra vulgaris (swiftwater hydra) is the source of this 2308-nucleotide non-coding RNA. NCBI's taxonomy places the organism in Eukaryota, Metazoa, Cnidaria, Hydrozoa, Anthoathecata, Hydridae. The record is from RefSeq and is a predicted model, not a curated record.